This 429-nucleotide ribosomal RNA is filed under the name Chloroflexota bacterium. RNAcentral describes it as "Chloroflexi bacterium partial 16S ribosomal RNA". It matches the Rfam family "Bacterial small subunit ribosomal RNA", at positions 355 to 776 of the family's 1533-position model. Lineage: Bacteria; Bacillati; Chloroflexota. The record is from RNAcentral.
UGGGGAAUAUUGCACAAUGGGCGCAAGCCUGAUGCAGCCAUGCCGCGUGUAUGAAGAAGGCCUUCGGGUUGUAAAGUACUUUCAGCGGGGAGGAAGGGAGUAAAGUUAAUACCUUUGCUCAUUGACGUUACCCGCAGAAGAAGCACCGGCUAACUCCGUGCCAGCAGCCGCGGUAAUACGGAGGGUGCAAGCGUUAAUCGGAAUUACUGGGCGUAAAGCGCACGCAGGCGGUUUGUUAAGUCAGAUGUGAAAUCCCCGGGCUCAACCUGGGAACUGCAUCUGAUACUGGCAAGCUUGAGUCUCGUAGAGGGGGGUAGAAUUCCAGGUGUAGUGGUGAAAUGCGUAGAGAUCUGGAGGAAUACCGGUGGCGAAGGCGGCCCCCUGGACGAAGACUGACGCUCAGGUGCGAAAGCGUGGGGAGCAAACAGG